AGUCCUCCAUUCCUCCUAGGCCAAACUGGUAGUUUUCCCUCAGAUUCCAACAUUACUCAUAGUAGGCCAAACUCGGGUAGUUCUCCCUCAUAUCCCACCAUUCCUCGUAGGCUAAAUUCCUGUGGUUUCUCUCAGAUUCCACCAUUGCUCCUAGGCCAAACUCUGGUUGUUCUCUCUCAGAUUCCACCAUUCCUCCUGGGCCAAACUGGUAGUUUUCCCUCAGAUUCCAACAUUACUCGUAGUAGGCCGAACUCGGGUAGUUCUCCCUCAGAUUCUACCAUUCUUCGUAGGCUAAAUUUCAGUGGUCUCUUUCGGAUUCCACCCUUCCUCCUAGGCCAAACUCUGGUCGUUCUCCCUCAGAUUCCUCCAUUCCUCCUAGGCCAAACUGGUAGUUAUCCCUCAGAUUCCAACAUUACUCGUAGUAGGCCGAACUCGGGUAGUUCUCCCUCAGAUCCCACCAUUCCUCGUAGGCUAAAUUCCGGUGGUUUCUCUCGGAUUCCACCAUUCCUCCUAGGCCAAACUCUGGUCGUUCUCCCUCAGAUUCCACCAUUCCUCCUGGGCCAAACUGGUUGUUCUCCCUCAGAUCGCACUAUUCCUCGUAGGCUAAAUUCCUGUGGUUUCUCUCAGAUUCCACCAUUGCUCCUAGGCCAAACUCCGGUCGUUCACCCUCAGAUUCCACCAUUGCCCCUAGGCCAAGCUCUGGUCGUUCUCCCUCAGAUUCCACCAUUGCUCCUAGGCCAAACUCUGGUCGUUCUCCCUCAGAUUCCACCAUUGCUCCUAGGUCAAACUCUGGUCGUUCUCCCUCAGAUUCCACCAUUCCUCCUAGGCCAAACUCUGGUUGUUCUCCCUCAGAUUCCACCAUUCCUCCUGGGCCAAACUGGUAGUUUUCCCUCAGCUUCCAACAUUCCUUGUAGGCAAAAUUCCGGUGGUUUCUCUCGGAUUCCACCAUUGCUCCUAGGCCAAACUCUGGUCGUUCUCCCUCAGAUUCCACCAUUGCUCCUAGGUCAAACUCUGGUCGUUCUCCCUCAGAUUCCACCAUUCCUCCUAGGCCAAACUCUGGUUGUUCUCCCUCAGAUUCCACCAUUCCUCCUGGGCCAAACUGGUAGUUUUCCCUCAGCUUCCAACAUUCCUUGUAGGCAAAAUUCCGGUGGUUUCUCUCGGAUUCCACCACUGCUCCUAGGCCAAACUCUGGCAGUUCUCCCUCAGAUCCCACCAUUCCUCCCGGGCCAAACUCUGGCAGCUUUCCCUCAGCCUCCCACACUACUCGUCGACCAGACCCUGGGAGUUUUCCCCCACUCCGACAUCACUCUUGGGCCACCCCCGGUGGCCCAGGGGGCUGGAGAGGGCCAAGCCCGGAGGGUCCGACGGUCUUCCCCGUCGGUCACCAUGCGGCAUUGCUGAGGGAGAAGGAGACCCGCCGGUCCCUCGAGGUUUGAAGGCGACAUUUGUGAAGGACUGGCGGGGCAGCGAGGGGGUCGGGGCGGGUGAGCCGCCUAAUCCCCCGAUUAGACUGUAAGCCCGUCAAAGGGCAGGGACUGUCUAUCUGUUGCCUAUUUGUCCAUUCCAAGCGCUUAGUACAGUGCUCUGCACAUAGUAAGCGCUCAAUAAAUACUAGUGAAUGAAUGAAUGAAUGAAUGAGCAUGAGGUCGCCCCCCCCCUCCGCGGGCUCAGAGCGCGGGAGCCAAUGGCUGAGCGGCCACGCCCCCUCUGA
Molecule: long non-coding RNA, 1711 nt
Filed under: Ornithorhynchus anatinus (platypus)
Lineage: Eukaryota; Metazoa; Chordata; Mammalia; Monotremata; Ornithorhynchidae
Description: lncRNA (ENSOANG00000046858.1)
Source: RNAcentral